CCACAAUCCAGGUUUCUGUAAAUAAACAGUGUUAAAGCCCAGGAGGAAGGCUAUUAAAUGUGGAUUUUGCUUCAUUCCUACCACUUUCUUUGGAGGAAUUCUUAGCCCCUGAUGGGAUUGGCUCCAGUGAGCCCUCAGGGUUCAGGUGUAUAGUCAUCAGCCUUUAUCUAUUUAGGACUGGAAACUUCUACAGCCCAGCAUUUACUGACACAACAAAGGUUGGUCAGGCCUUAUUCAUGCAGCCUAAGGCACUGCAGGGGUGGCCACUCCUUGUGGUGGUGAUACUGAGCAAUGGGCUUGCUCUGCUGCCACGAUCUGAGCCAAUCAAUGGCUUCGAGUUAGGGAUCCAGAAAGGAAAUUUUAAUUCGAUUAACCGGCAUAAUCGGGAAGAUGGCAGAGUAAUAUCUCAAAAAAACCAUCUUCCAAAACUAUAGAAUCUUGAAGCGGUCAUAUAGGGAAAAUGGGCAGCAAGGAGGGGGUCCAGGGAUGUUGGUCUCCAGGCGUGACAGGUUGCAGGCAUCACAUUGUUCCACUCUUCUGUCAGCUGUGAUGGACACUUUGUAGGUGUGUUUCUCGCUUGUGGUCAGCCUGUUCCUGGAGAAGAACUCAUAGAACAAAGUUUUAAUUUAUCAAGCUGUUGGGGAGUACAUACCAUGGUAGCUGGACUGCAAAGGAGUCCCUGAAGGGAGCACCCAAAGAGAGAGCUUCCCCAGAGACCAUGGUAGAAGCCGAAAGAGCUCUUUUGCACUAAUCUCGGAAGUCACGGGAUCCCUUCCUCCACAUUUUGUGGCUAUAAACUAUUCACAGUGGCCACUCCAAAUUCAAAGGGAGAAGAAUUGGACUACACCUCUUGAAGGUGGAAUAACAAGAACACACAGCAGAAGAGCAUGGGAGACGUUCUUGCAAUCAUCUUUGGAAAAUACGGUUCUACAGCCUAACACUUGAGUGUGCGGUUCUGUGCAGACAGACAAUGAAGUUCAGGGCUGCAGGCCGCAGAUCUAAAGGCUGAUCCUGGGUCAGACACGAUCUGCCUAAAUGACCCUGGCAAAUUAUCUGGUCUCUUGUGCCUGUAACUACAUCUAUAAAACGUCAGAAAUAUUGACCUGUCCCCAAGUAGGUGAACUUUAAGAAACAGGCUUUGGAAAUCUUGGGAAGAAUGAUUUAAAAGUACCGCUUCCUGCUGGUGACCCAACCUAAGCAUAGUGUGUGGAGGAAUGCAAACGAUCAGCCUUUCCCAUGCAGUCGGCCGCACUGAAGUACUGUGGGUGACGAAAAUGGAUCUGUUGCCUAAGCUGGGUGUGGAAAAACCACGUGCCAGGCUGGAAAUCGAUGAAUUCACACCUUCUCUCUCGCUCCCUCAAGUUGGGCUGUGAUAUGAAUGACCUUUCCUAGAAGCAAAAGGAGGAAGAUGGAGUGUGACCACAGCGUCUGCUGAAUGUCAUUGAGAUGGUCACAUUCUCACUGACAGAUGGAGACUUGGGCAAAAGACCACUGAGGUGUGCACCUUCCUACCACCUUUGAACAGAACUCCCUCUGCUCUCGUCUCUGCAGCUAUAAGGUUUUCUCCCACCACAUGGAAAGGUGGCAGAAAGCCACAAUUCUGGAAAGAUGAGUGUUGUUCUAGAAAACUACCCUGACAUGCAACAGGCUCGUCAGCCCCA
This is a long non-coding RNA of Equus caballus (horse), 1661 nucleotides long. Lineage: Eukaryota; Metazoa; Chordata; Mammalia; Perissodactyla; Equidae. The record is from Ensembl.